GUAUUUUUAAUCUUUUGUUGGAAGCUGCCCAGAGUGGCUGGGGAAACCCAGCCAGAUGGGCGGGGUAUAAUAAUAAUAAUAAUAAUAAUAAUAAUAAUAAUAAUAAUUUAUUAUUUAUACCCUGCCCAUCUGGCUGGGUUUCCCCAGCCACUCUGGGUGACUUCCAACAGAACACCAAAAUA
This is a non-coding RNA of Podarcis lilfordi (Lilford's wall lizard), 182 nucleotides long. The record is from the annotation of a GenBank genome assembly. Lineage: Eukaryota; Metazoa; Chordata; Lepidosauria; Squamata; Lacertidae.